This is a long non-coding RNA of Pantherophis guttatus, 327 nucleotides long. RefSeq lists it as uncharacterized. Lineage: Eukaryota; Metazoa; Chordata; Lepidosauria; Squamata; Colubridae. The record is from RefSeq and is a predicted model, not a curated record.
GUUUCUGGUUCUCAAAUUUGAAAGGAACUGGGGGUUGGUUGGUUUUUUGAAUGGUGAGAGGAUCAAAUGUGGCAGGCACCCAAGAAAAGACUGAGAGGUUCCAUUAAUUAAGCAAGUGUUGGCAGAAUUGACAGCCAUCUAUCCACACCAAUCUCCAAGGGCAAACCAAAUUCCUGGAGGAUAAAGCUAUCAAUGGCUACUAGAUCACAGGGAUAUUUUUCUCAGUACUCUCAAACUGCUCUCAUAUCCUGCUGGCAGUCUUCCCAAUGAUAUCUGGUUGGCCAAUAUGGGAAGAAGAAUUUUGGAUUAAAGAGGCCUUUGAUUUAA